Sebastes umbrosus (honeycomb rockfish) is the source of this 1034-nucleotide RNA transcript. It is a transcript of the gene named transmembrane protein 243, mitochondrial b, with no coding region annotated. The transcript has 5 exons. Lineage: Eukaryota; Metazoa; Chordata; Actinopteri; Perciformes; Sebastidae. The record is from RefSeq and is a predicted model, not a curated record.
GUAAAGUAGCUCAUCCACCUGGCCGUCAGAGUCUCGCUCCACGAUGUCUCCGUCAGUCUGUUGACAGCUUCCCAGACUCUGAGCAGAGGGAGGCAACUGGGAUCUAGCUAGUUAUCCAGCUAGAAUGCAGCACUGGCCCGUCGUCUCCAGGAGGCGGCGCUGCUGAGAGGCGAGUGUUGGCGUCUGCUGAGCCGGCCAUGGAUGACUUCACCACCAGGACAUACGGCACCAGCGGCAUGGACAACAGACCUCUGUUUGGGGAGACCUCGGCACGGGAUCGAAUCAUCAACCUGGCAGUGGGGGGAUUCACGUCUCUGGUUGUUUUAGUGACUGUUAUCAGCUCUUUUGUGUUCCCCUCGUUGCCUCCACGACCGCUUAAUGUCUUCUUUGCCGUGUGCAUCCUGUUAGCAUGUGGAUCCAGUAUAGUGCUGAUAUUCUGGUACCGGCAGGGAGAUCUGGAGCCUAAAUUCAGGAAUCUGAUCUACUUCAUGCUGGGAUCCAUCGUGCUGCUGUGUCUAUGUGCCAACCUCUACUUCCACGAUGUCAGGUAAAGACGAAGAGGAAGAGGAGGAAGAAGAAGAAGGGAAGACAUGGCCUUGACACAUUGGAAGGACUACAUGGAGAGACAGACUCAUCACACACUUGAAUGAAUGCAUUUCCUGCCUGACCUGCAGCAACCUGAAGAUUCUUGGACCAAAACCAGUGCAGCUUAAUGGUUCCACUGGGGUGCAAACUGAAGAGUUGUUGGUGCUGAAACAUAAUGAACUGCACACACACACACACACACACACACACACACAACGUACUGUUAGAGGCCAUAAAUCUGCCUGGAGACACGCUGCUGGAGGAUGAAACAGCUUCCGUUUACAGACCUGCAGUAAACACACCGUGACAAACCGCUUAGUGCAAAAACAAACUGAGGAGGAAACAAACCCCGUCUGUCAACUCGCCACGACUUUAGGAUUGUCAAAGCCAUGUGUUUCUUUUUUUAUUUAUUUCAUUUAUUGUAUGGAAUAAAUAAUUGUGUACCCUGA